CAAUAGCGUAUAUUAAAGUUGUUGCAGUUAAAAAGCUCGUAGUCGGAUUUUGGCAUCACGCCGAACUGUCUGCCGAUUGGUAAGUACGGUUUGGCGGGUGCUUCCUUCCGGAGGCUCGUUCCCUUCUUCAUUGAAGGGUUCGUUGGUUCCGGGUCUUUUACUUUGAGAAAAUUAGAGUGUUCAAAGCAGGCCUAUGCUCUGAAUAGGUUAGCAUGGAAUAAUAGAAUAGGACUUUGGUUCUAUUUUGUUGGUUUCUAGGACCGAAGUAAUGAUUAAUAGGGACAGUUGGGGGUGCUAGUAUUGAGCGGCCAGAGGUGAAAUUCGGGGAUUCGCUCAAGACUAACUUAUGCGAAAGCAUUCACCAAGGAUGUCUUCUUUAAUCAAGAACGAAAGUUGGGGGAUCGAAGAUGAUUAGAUACCAU
This 422-nucleotide ribosomal RNA is filed under the name uncultured eukaryote. Its description in RNAcentral is "bacterial SSU rRNA". It matches the Rfam family "Eukaryotic small subunit ribosomal RNA", at positions 592 to 1018 of the family's 1831-position model. The record is from RNAcentral.